CGUUAGAUUUGGCAGAAAAUUUAUUAGGGAUAAGCUUAAUAUCUUAUAUUUAUAUAGUAAUAGGAGUAGGAUUAGUAAAGGAUUAAUAGUGUCUUUAUGUUUUGUAACUGAUUGUUUAUGUUUUUAUUAAUUAGCUAUAUGAGGGUAUCUUGAGAUUUUUUUUGUUAGUAAUAAUGGUAGAAUUAGUAGAUUAAUUUUUAGUGAGUAAUUUAGGUGUUUUAUUUAAAGUACUUUAAUUUGUAAAUAUUGGUAAGGAACUCGGCAAACAUCUUUCUUAACUGUUUAUCAAAAACAUCUCUUUAAGGAAGGAUUUAAAGUAUAUUCUGCCCCCUGAUUUGGAUAAUUAAAGGGCCGCAGUAGCCUGACUGUGCUAAGGUAGCAUAAUCAUUAGGUUCUUAAUUAGGAUCUGGAAUGAAUGAGUGAAUAAGGAGGAGCUGUCUAUCAGUAGAGUUUGAAAUUAAAUUUUUAGUAAGAAUGCUAGAAUNGAGCUAGUGGGACGAUAAGACCCUAUAAAGCUUUACUAACCUUUAGUAAAAAUUUUUACUACUUUUAUGAUGAGGUAUAGUUCUACUGGGGCGGUAGCUAUUUAACUUAGUUAGUUUUAUUUUCUCUAUGGAUCCAUCUUUGGUGAAUUAAGAUUAAGUUACUUUAGGGAUAACAGCAUAAUAUAUCUAUGGAGUUCUAAUCGAAGGAUAUGGUUGUGACCUCGAUGUUGAAUUAACCUUAUUGUAAGGUGAAGAAGCUUUACGAGUUAGUCUGUUCGACUAUUAAAGGGUUACGUGAUUUGAGUUCAAACCGGUUUAAGCCAGGUUGGUUUCUAUCUACUGGAUUUAAAAAAUUUCUUAGUACGAAAGGACCAGAGAUUUUAGAUUUUCUAUUUAAUAUCGUUUUGGCCUCUUUAGGUCUUU
RNAcentral lists this ribosomal RNA (908 nucleotides) under Hadrobunus sp. 'hoffmani'. RNAcentral's name for it is "16S ribosomal RNA". The stretch from base 489 to 828 matches the Rfam family "Bacterial large subunit ribosomal RNA", at positions 2072 to 2648 of the family's 2925-position model. The record is from RNAcentral. Lineage: Eukaryota; Metazoa; Arthropoda; Arachnida; Opiliones; Sclerosomatidae.